ACAGAUGUCAAGUAUGUCAUCCCAAUGUUCAUAAGCGAAAUUCUCCUUGUGAUAAGCUAAGCACCACUUUGCAUGAAUUGAGCCUCCACGAGAAACAAUUCCGGUCAUCCGUUUUGCUGUCAGUGGGAUGUACCUGAGAAGGACUCCGGCAUGGAUUGUGAAGUAAUCAACUCCUUGCUCAGCUUGUUCAAUUAAGGUCUCCCUAAACACUUCCCAACUAAGAUUCUCAGCAAUCCCGUUUACUUUUUCUAGUGCUUGGUAAAUUGGCACAGUGCCUACUGGUACAGCAGAAUUACGCAAGAUCCACUCACGAGUCUCGUGGAUGUGACGACCAGUAGAGAGAUCCAUAAUCGUAUCUGCACCCCACAUUGUUGCCCAUUGAAGCUUGUGAACUUCUUCUUCAAUCGAGCUUACAACAGCAGAGUUCCCGAUGUUGGCAUUGACUUUCACUAAGAACUUUCUUCCUACUAUCAUUGGCUCCAACUCAGGGUGCUUCUUGUUUGAAGGGAUGAUUGCACGGCCCCGAGCAACUUCUGACCUCACAAAUUCCGGAUCCAUCUUCUCACGAGCAGCACAGUACACCAUUUCCUCAGUUAUGAUUCCCUGCUUAGCAUAGAACAUUUGAGUAUACCUUGGUCCUCCUAACUUCUCCCUCCUGUUAAUCCACUCCGUGCGCAGCUUGGGAAGUCCAACGCGCGGGUUAACACCCUGAGGACCACUGGUAUCAUAAGUGUCGAAAUGUGGUUCAUCCCCGGAAAGAUGGAUACGUCGAAAUGGGACUUUGAGUACAUGACCAGUUUCUUCAUGCAUAACUUCACUGUAUUCCUUGGAGCUUUUCGGAAAGCAUUGUUCGAAUGGUGGAAGGGGCAGGAAAUCAGGAGCAUUAGGAUCAACAGUGUGCUUUGGCUUUGUCUUCUCUUUAUUAUCAGUACUGGGAGGAUCAAAGGUAAGUGUUGCUCUCGGGCUUGAAAAAGAAUUGAAACGCGUUUCCCUUCUCCCUGUAACCGCAACUUGCCCUGUCAAAUCAAACCCUGGCAAGAAGGAACUUCUUGGAACAUUUACUUGUGGAUUAUUGUUCCCUUUCUUGCAUAGGAGUGAUGUCAAAGCAGUUUGGACAGACGCCAUCUUCCAAUCAACGUCUGAAGCAAAUGAAUUAGAGCUGUAAAUGAUGAGAAGAGGGAGAAAA
RNAcentral lists this unclassified non-coding RNA (1186 nucleotides) under Hevea brasiliensis (rubber tree). The record is from RNAcentral. Lineage: Eukaryota; Viridiplantae; Streptophyta; Magnoliopsida; Malpighiales; Euphorbiaceae.